UACGUAGGGGGCAAGCGUUGUCCGGAAUCAUUGGGCGUAAAGAGCGUGUAGGCGGUUCGGUAAGUCGGCUGUGAAAGUCCAGGGCUCAACCCUGGGAUGCCGGUCGAUACUGCCGGACUAGAGUUCGGAAGAGGCGAGUGGAAUUCCCGGUGUAGCGGUGAAAUGCGCAGAUAUCGGGAGGAACACCAAUGGCGAAGGCAGCUCGCUGGGACGUUACUGACGCUGAGACGCGAAAGCGUGGGGAGCAAACAGG
RNAcentral lists this ribosomal RNA (253 nucleotides) under uncultured bacterium. RNAcentral's name for it is "partial 16S ribosomal RNA". It matches the Rfam family "Bacterial small subunit ribosomal RNA", at positions 524 to 776 of the family's 1533-position model. The record is from RNAcentral.